Molecule: ribosomal RNA, 438 nt
Filed under: Pseudomonadaceae bacterium
Lineage: Bacteria; Pseudomonadati; Pseudomonadota; Gammaproteobacteria; Pseudomonadales; Pseudomonadaceae
Description: bacterial SSU rRNA
Rfam family: Bacterial small subunit ribosomal RNA
Source: RNAcentral
GAACUGAAGAGUUUGAUCAUGGCUCAGAUUGAACGCUGGCGGCAGGCCUAACACAUGCAAGUCGAGCGGAUGAAUGGAGCUUGCUCCAUGAUUCAGCGGCGGACGGGUGAGUAAUGCCUAGGAAUCUGCCUGGUAGUGGGGGACAACGUUUCGAAAGGAACGCUAAUACCGCAUACGUCCUACGGGAGAAAGUGGGGGAUCUUCGGACCUCACGCUAUCAGAUGAGCCUAGGUCGGAUUAGCUAGUUGGCGAGGUAAAGGCUCACCAAGGCGACGAUCCGUAACUGGUCUGAGAGGAUGAUCAGUCACACUGGAACUGAGACACGGUCCAGACUCCUACGGGAGGCAGCAGUGGGGAAUAUUGGACAAUGGGCGAAAGCCUGAUCCAGCCAUGCCGCGUGUGUGAAGAAGGUCUUCGGAUUGUAAAGCACUUUAAGUU